This 253-nucleotide ribosomal RNA is filed under the name uncultured bacterium. RNAcentral's name for it is "partial 16S ribosomal RNA". It matches the Rfam family "Bacterial small subunit ribosomal RNA", at positions 524 to 776 of the family's 1533-position model. The record is from RNAcentral.
UACGGAGGGGGCUAGCGUUGUUCGGAAUUACUGGGCGUAAAGCGCGCGUAGGCGGCUUUGUAAGUUAGAGGUGAAAGCCCGAAGCUCAACUUCGGAAUUGCCUUUAAGACUGCAUCGCUUGAAUCCAGGAGAGGUGAGUGGAAUUCCGAGUGUAGAGGUGAAAUUCGUAGAUAUUCGGAAGAACACCAGUGGCGAAGGCGGCUCACUGGACUGGUAUUGACGCUGAGGUGCGAAAGCGUGGGGAGCAAACAGG